AGUAACGCCGCGUGGAGGAUGAAGGCCUUCGGGUCGUAAACUCCUGUCAGCGGGAACGACGGCACAUGAGGGACAAGCCUCAGGUGUUAGACGGUACCCGACAAAGGAAGCCCCGGCUAAUUCCGUGCCAGCAGCCGCGGUAAUACGGAAGGGGCUAGCGUUGUUCGGAAUCAUUGGGCGUAAAGGAGUGAGUAGGCGGUCUGGUAUGUCUGCUGUGAAAGCCCACGGCUUCCCCGUGGAAGGGCAGCGGAAACGGCCGGACUUGAGGCUGGGAGGGGUGGGUGGAAUUCCCUGUGUAGCGGUGAAAUGCGUAGAGACGGGGGAGAACACUGGUAGCGAAGGCGGCCCACUGGCCCAGUCCUGACGCUCAGUCCUGACAGCGUGGGGAGCAAACAGGAUUAGAUACCCUGGUAGUCCACGCCGUAAACGAUGGGCACUAGGUGCUGGUGGUUAACUCCAGCAGUGCCGGCGCUAACGCAGUAAGUGCCCCGCCUGGGGAGUACGGUCGCAAGGCUG
RNAcentral lists this ribosomal RNA (516 nucleotides) under uncultured bacterium. RNAcentral describes it as "bacterial SSU rRNA". It matches the Rfam family "Bacterial small subunit ribosomal RNA", at positions 390 to 896 of the family's 1533-position model. The record is from RNAcentral.